UACGUAGGGUGCAAGCGUUAAUCGGAAUUACUGGGCGUAAAGCGUGCGCAGGCGGCUUUGCAAGACAGAUGUGAAAUCCCCGGGCUUAACCUGGGAACUGCAUUUGUGACUGCAUGGCUCGAGUGCGGCAGAGGGGGAUGGAAUUCCGCGUGUAGCAGUGAAAUGCGUAGAUAUGCGGAGGAACACCGAUGGCGAAGGCAAUCCCCUGGGCCUGCACUGACGCUCAUGCACGAAAGCAUGGGGAGCAAACAGG
RNAcentral lists this ribosomal RNA (253 nucleotides) under uncultured bacterium. RNAcentral's name for it is "partial 16S ribosomal RNA". It matches the Rfam family "Bacterial small subunit ribosomal RNA", at positions 524 to 776 of the family's 1533-position model. The record is from RNAcentral.